GCAGCCAAAGUCAUAGAUACCGCGGCGGUGUUGCUGGAUCUGCUAACUGGGUCAAUCAUUGAAGGUGUGGCUCACAUUGGUUCCCUGGGGGCUCUGUACUCCAGUUCUGCCACCAUAUGACACUUCCUGAAGCUGAAGGAAAAGGUGAGAAGCCUGCAGGCACACUGAUGUCAUGCCUGCAUAUUUCUUCUUACUUUGUGCAGUGCAUUGUUGGUAAGCAAUGUCAAUGCAUACAUUGACGAGUGACUGACUGACGGACUCCUUGUAAGUCUAUCCUGGUUUUUACCUACUCUGGAUUGUUGAAGGAUGAAUGCUAGAAGCUUGGGCUCCCUGGGAAGAGCUGAUGAGAACAGAGGUGAGCACAGAGCCAAGGCAUCUGCCCACCUGGAGACGCAUACCCUCUCCCUUGCCUGGCACAGUAGCCACUGCUGGAAAACAUGUGUAGUGGCAGAAGAUCCGCUGUAAAACAAACGCAUGAACUCUACAUGCAGCCAUUCAGAAGAUGCUGUUGUGCUGGCCUCCUUCAUCCCCCAUCAGCCCUGUUCCCAUAGCAACUGGCCUCCCUCCAAACCAGAGCUGACUGAGGGCGUCCAGAUUAACUCCUUCCGAUGUAGCAGGGUCUUCUGUCCACAUGGCCCAGAUGCUUAUAGCACUAAUGUCUACUGGAAGACAGAGACACUGUGAUACUGUGAGUGUUAAAGGCCCGAGUUACAUCUUUAGGAGGCAAUUGUGCAAACCUGAGUAUUCCAGGAACGUUUUUGACCUCAGUCGAAUUCUCACUAUAUGUCUGUCUCACUAUAUGUCUGGGAGAGUAUGCUUGUUCCUAAGGUACUGCAGGGAGAGAAGGGAGUGCACACUGAUGCUUGGGGGAUACUCAGCUUGCAGGUAGCUCCCAUCACCUGGGUCCAGGUGCAUGCAAGCUCACUGCUACUGUGAUGGCCCUGCACAGCAGAGAGGAUCUAUCGCAAAUGUACUGUGCUGUGAUUCAGCUGGGAAAGCAGAAACCCACAGCCACUAAGACACUACCGAGCCUGCAGGUUGCCCAGGAGAGCCUUAUCAAAUUGAUGCCUAAAUUGAUUCCAUCUUGAGUGGAGUCACGUCAGAGCUCGCAGGACUGCAGACUUCCAAACAGAGUCGCUGGAUGAAACCCGGGGAUGGAUGGAAAAGCAAGGACGUGCGAGAUGGUCUGGGAAGAGGAAAGAAGAAUCAUUGGUCUGUCCCAAGAGCUGCAGGUGGCUGACUGGCAUCGCCACGAAGGAUGACAAGGCCAGGGCCACAGGAGCUGUACAGGCUAGGAGGACUGGGAAGAGAUGGAGACACUGGAAUCUGAGCUCAGAUUCUGCCUGAGGUUUGUAACCACAGCAUUGCUAUUGGAGAGAGAGGGGUGGGGGAAGAGGAUAUAAGAGGGCGGAUGGCGAGCUUUUGCAAUGGUGGCCAUCUGUUUUCCAAGCUGAAAAUCAGGACACGCUCUGAAAGGAUUUUCCUGUUGCUGGAAUUGAGAGCUGCCGUCUGUGAGAGGCGGUUUGGAUGGUUGCCUGAAGGGUGGUAUUUUUGAGACAUUCCAGUGGCUUGUGGGGCCCAUGAGACAGUCCAAGGGUAGGGCAUUGCCAUGGGAACCACUGGGCCUGACCACUGGGCCAGGAUCCUGGUGCAGGGCCACAUGGCCAGGACACUUCAUUGGCUGUGAACCCAAGACAUCAAGGGUCACAAAGAUAAGCCUGAUCCACUGAGCAACCCACACUGGAGGGACGUGGAAGGGAAGAAGGCUGGGUGUGGCCCACAUCAGCCUAUGUUCUGAGCCAAUCAAGACAGUGGUCUGGCAGACUCCAGGAAGUGCUCCAGGACAGGUCUGCAGGGGACACGAGGAAGAAAAGUCAGGCUAUGUCAUAACCUGUGUAGACACUUGAGUCUUCCCUCUGUAGCACUAUGUUCCCCUGCCUUCCUAAGUCAUGUGGGGACCACCUGAUUGCUGGUUCAUCUUUGUGGUGGGUGGGGAUAGUGACUCUCUUCUCGGGUAAUGCCUGGAGUUUGGGCAGAAACUGACUGAUGUGUGCAUGGCCGUUCCAUAAGGCUAUUGGCUGUUUCCCUCGGCCCAGUAGGAGGCUGAGGGCAUGCCAGAAUGGCGAGCUCGGCAGAAUGGGAGAAAUUUGAGGGCUUGGGAAACACAUGACCCACUCACCCAGGGCAGUCGCAGGUUCCCAGCCAAGCCCUGCUUGUGGGUUGGUCAGGGUUUUGUCAGCAACAAAAGAACAAUACCCUUCCCAAAAGGCUAGGCACUAGGAAAGUGCAAGCCCUGCCUCUCCUCCACUUGCCAACAUCGUGCGUCCAAAUGGUCCUGCUCCUCCAAGUCUUCCAUACUGCUCUGGGUUCAUGAGAGCUGUCAGGUGCCUCCAGGACAUCAAACUUCCUGCUUGGUAAUACCUUCCUGGUAAACUCAGCACUGCCCUGAGGUCCCUUAAAAAAAAAAAAAAAAAAAAAAAAAACUCGAAAAACCAAAAACCAAACAAACAAAAAACCCCAAAAAUAUUGCUUUUAAAGAAGGGAACAAGGGGCUGGGAAUGUUGGUAGAUGUUUUUACCUAGCAUGCUAGAAGCCCUUGGGUUCAAUCCCCAGCAUGGCCAAACCCAGUCUGGUGACUCAGCUGAAAUCCCAUUACUCAGAACCUAGAAGCAGACAGGUCAGAAGUUCAAGGUUAUCCUAAGCUACAUACCAAAUUUGAGACCAGCCAGGGAAACGUGUGAAACCAUGUCAAAAACAAAACAAAACAACAACAACAACAAAAAACUUUUCAAAGCAGGAAAGAGCUGGAAGACAUCUGUCUCCCCUACUCUCAGACUUCCAUCGGCUGAGUUUUCUCCCUCAGGCCUUGGUCAUGGCAAAGCCAAGGAGAGCUGGAACCCAGCCCAGCUUUUUGCCAAUAAUUCACCACCUGACCUUACACUUCCUCUCAGAGCCUCCUUGUCUUCCUUUGUAAAUGGAGGGGUUCAGACAAGACUGUUUCUCAGGUCUAAUCCUGACCUCUCAACGAUUGUAUUCAUUGAUCUUUUCUGCUGGUUCAUUCAUACAUAGCACUUCCACUUCCUGACAUAGUAUUUUUUUUAAUGUGUUUGUUUACUGUCUGUCUUACUCUGAUUCGGUUCCUUGCUCCCUGAGGGCAGGAGAUUUGGCUUGUUUUAGUCACUGCUAGAUUCCUGCCAUCUGUAAAAAGAAAAAAGAAAAAAAGAAACAAAAAGAGAUGUGAGUUUGUGCCUGUGUUCUGAAAGGAAGCUGAGGUUGCACACUUAGAAUCCAGAAGGGGACGUCACUGAAAGCCUCCUUCCUAGUUGUAGUCAAGGUAAGAACUCAGCUCUGGGUAGUGAGUAUCUGGGGUGGAGCCGGAGGGUUAGACCAGGCUUCCCAGAAGGGUUGCCUAGCAAGACCGCAGCCACGCCCACCUGGCCCAGUUGGAAAGCAAGCGUGGACUACUCCCACUCAGACCUCCUUUUUCUUCAACCCCUGCUUUCCCCUAGAAGGGUAGAAAGGAGGGACUUGGAUCUGGAGUGGGGCGGGGCCCACUCAGCCUAGUACCCGAUAAACACAUCUGCUGGGUACUGGCCCCGUGCCAGCGUGUACACUGCUGACCAGCAUGUGAUCUGCUGGCGCAUAAAGCUAAGGCUGUGCCCACCAGUCUGCCCUACAUGACCCGACACGGUGUUGGGAACUGUCCACUCGCUCUCCCUGGAGCUGCUCUAACUGUGUCUAGAUCCAAUUUGGGGCAGCCAGCCUGGUUUGUAACAUUACCGCGAGGAUGGAAAUAGAGCAUAGUUGAAGGCAGGGAGGAGACAGGGGUCUGUCUAGUCCGCGAGUGCUGGCUAUGUGGAGCUACCAGCCCUCUGUAGGAUGUCCUUGAAGUUUAGUUGACUAGGAUCUAAAAUCCUACUCCAUCAUUUCUUUGCUGGGCAAUCUUGGGCCUGCUUCUUGACAUCUCUGGUCCUCUUGUUUUAUCCUCUAUAAAAAUGGGGAUCAAGGGGAUGUAGAAGGUCUGUGAGGAUUUAAAGAGCAUCUGUGCACCAGGCUUAGCACAGAGCCUGGACACACCGCGAAUGCUCUGUUAUUAUAAUUAGAGACCAGAGGCCACCCCCUUCCCUAUUCUCGCUCCUCAGGGAUCUCCACCCCCUCUCCAGCUCCAUUUAAUUCUGAGUGUUUUAGGUCAUUCUAUGGCUGGCGGUCUGCCAAGGCUCUGACAAAGACAGGAGUUCCUGCUCAUUCAUCCUAAUGCAAGUUCCUGCGUUUAUGAUAAUAGGGGAAAUGCAUGAAAGGGCUCACUGCCUGUGGAGGGGAAAUCGGCUUAGAAUUGAAAACCGAGCCCUUCCUAGGCCCAGCUCUCCCCUCCCAGCGCUUUGGCUGGGGCGACAGAAGGGAGGGUGGCUGGGAGGAGCCGAGAGGGGAAGAGGGCGGUGAGGCAGAACUCACUGAAGGGAACCGAAGGGCAGGCAGGGGGCCGCGGGAGAGGGCCUGGUUCGCCCGGUGAAUGGGUUUCAGGGUGGCUGAGGAAGCCUGCCAAAAAGGCGAAGUGAAAAGGCCAGACCCUGCGAGGCGCUGCGCUAGCGGUUUCCAUGGCGACCCCAGCUGCCUCUGGGCCCCGGUGGCUGGUUGGCUGGCUCCGUGGCGGGGCCUCGUCUGCCACCGCACGGUUACUCAGCUUGAAAAAGAGGCAAAGAAAAUCUGAAGGGUUGUCUAGGCCCAGUCAGUGCCACUGUGGCUCCCAGCCUCACGGGGAUGGAAUCCUGAGGCCAGUGGAUGGAUGCAGGUACAUCUGGUCCAGCAGAGGGGUCUGGUUAGCAGGGAGAGGGUUUGGAGAGAGACAGACAGACAGAGAGACAGGCAGAGACAGACACAGAGAGACAGGCAGAGACAGAGACACAGAGAGAGACAGAGGAGAGGAACACACACACACACACACACACACACACACACACACACACACACACACGGCGGGGGCGGGGAGCCUGAAAGAGUGCCCUGGGCUCUGUUGGUGGAGUGCUUGCCUACACUGAAUAGGGCCCUGGGUUCAAUUCCCAGCACUGCAUACAUUAAAUGGUGUUCUACACCAGGAAUCCCGGCAUUUGUGAGGUGGAGGUAUGAAGAUCUGAAGAUCAAGGUCAUCUUUAGCUACAUACUGCCCUAGCAAUUAGAUAUUAAAACAUAAAAAGACAUUUUAAAGGGUAAAAGACAUUUUAAAGGGUGUGUGUGUGUGUGUGGCCUACAUGAAUCAGAGAUUUAAGGUCUUUUGGAGUUGGGGUUACAGGCAGUAAUGAGUAGGAUGCUAAGAGCUGAACUUGAGUCCCCUGGGAGAACAGCCGAGGUAUCUAUCUUUAUGGCCUCAGCAGGUGGUGGCGCACGCCUUUAAUCCCAGCAGGGCCCCCCCCCCCCAGGCAGGCAGAUUUCUGAGUUCGAGGCCAGCCUGGUCUACAAAGUGAGUUCCAGGACAGCCAGGGCUAUACAGAGAAACCCUGUCUCCAAAAACAAAGAGAGAGAGAGAUGAAUAUAUGAACAUAUAUGCAAGGCAGGGCAGGGCCGGAGAGAUGGCUCAUGGGUUCAGAAGAACACCGGCUGUCCUUCCAGAAGAACUGGGUUUUAUUCCCAGUGCCCACAACUCCAGUCCCAAGGGGUUUCUUUGAUGCCCUUUUCUGGUCUCUGCAAGCACCAGACAUAGACAUGGCACACACACUUACAUGCUAGUAAAGCAUCUAUAUACAUGAAAGUAAGAAAUAAAGAUUAAAACAUUGAGAAUAAAAGGAGAGAUUAAGAAAAGAGUGAAGCGGGGCGGUAGUGGUGCACGCCUUUAAUCCUAACACUUGGGAGGCAGAGGCGGGCGGAUUUCUGAGUUCAAGGCCAGCCUGGUCUACAAAGUGAGUUCCAGGACAGCCAGGGCUAUACAGAGAAACCCUGUCUCGGAAAAAAAAAAAAAAAAAAGAAAGAAAGAAAGAGAGAGAGAGAAGAAAAGAAAAGAGUGAAAUCCAUCUCAUUUGUCACUGAAGAAGGCCCUGGGAAAACCUUUACUCAGAUUGCCGAUUGCCUUCCAAAGAUCCACCCUUCGGCACACAUCUGUAGAUCCAGCUAGGGAAGGCUGAGGCAGGAGGAUUGCCUGGACUACAUGGGGGAGUUCAAGACCAGUCUGGGUAAUUAAUGGAGACCUUGUUCCUGGAAGACUAAAAAGAGAGAGGGGUAGGUAGAGCACUCACACAAGCCUUGGAU
Mus musculus (house mouse) is the source of this 6237-nucleotide long non-coding RNA. RefSeq annotates it as predicted gene, 51955. The transcript has 3 exons. NCBI's taxonomy places the organism in Eukaryota, Metazoa, Chordata, Mammalia, Rodentia, Muridae. The record is from RefSeq and is a predicted model, not a curated record.